CAGCCGCCGCGGUAAUACCAGCUCUCCGAGUGGUGUGGAUGUUUAUUGGGCCUAAAGCAUCCGUAGCUGGCCAAGUUAGUCCCCUGUUAAAUCCACCGAUUCAAUCGUUGGAGUGCGGGGGAUACUGCUCGGCUAGGGGACGGGAGAGGCCGACGGUAUUUUCGGGGUAGGGGUGAAAUCCUAUAAUCCCGGGAAGACCACCAGUGGCGAAGGCUGUCGGCUAGAACGCGCCCGACGGUGAGGGAUGAAAGCUGGGGUAGCGAACCGGAUUAGAUACCCGGGUAGUCCCAGCUGUAAACGAUGCAGGCUAGGUGUUUGGGCGGCCACGUGCCGCUCUAGUGCCGCAGGGAAGUCGUUAAGCCUGCCGCCUGGGGAGUACGGUCGCAAGGCUGAAACUUAAAGGAAUUGGCGGGGGAGCACCACAAGGGGUGAAGCUUGCGGUUUAAUUGGAGUCAACGCCGGAAAUCUCACCGGGAGCGACAGCAGGUUGAAGGCCAGAUUAAAGGUCUUGCUAGACGAGCUGAGAGGAGGUGCAUGGCC
RNAcentral lists this ribosomal RNA (540 nucleotides) under uncultured archaeon. RNAcentral's name for it is "bacterial SSU rRNA". It matches the Rfam family "Archaeal small subunit ribosomal RNA", at positions 459 to 999 of the family's 1478-position model. The record is from RNAcentral.